Molecule: ribosomal RNA, 659 nt
Filed under: uncultured marine eukaryote
Lineage: Eukaryota
Description: SSU rRNA
Rfam family: Eukaryotic small subunit ribosomal RNA
Source: RNAcentral
GUUAAAAAGCUCGUAGUUGGAUCUCGGCGGGCAGGGGGUGGUUCGCUCUUCAGCGCUACUGCCCCGCUUUGCCCGUGUGAUUGGCGGAGGUUUCGGGGUGCUCUUCGUUGAGUGACUCGGAGCGCCGUCAGGUUUACUUUGAAAAAAUUAGAGUGCUCAAAGCAGGCUUUUCACGCUUGAAUAUUCGUGCAUGGAAUAAUGGAAUAGGAACUCGUUUCUAUUUUGUUGGUUUUCGGAAAUCGAGUUAAUGAUUAACAGGGACAAUUGGGGGCAUUAGUAUUCAGACGACAGAGGUGAAAUUCUUGGACCGUCUGAAGACUGACUACUGCGAAAGCAUUUGCCAAGAGUGUUUUCAUUAAUCAAGAACGAAAGUUAGAGGUUCGAAGGCGAUCAGAUACCGCCCUAGUUCUAACCAUAAACGAUGCCAGCUAGCGAUCUGCCGAGUUUUUUUUGUAGGCUCCGCAGGAAGCUUUCGGGAAACCAAAGCUUUUGGGUUCCGGGGGAGGUAUGGUUGCAAAGCUGAAACUUAAAGGAAUUGACGGAAGGGCACCACCAGGAGUGGAGCCUGCGGCUUAAUUUGACUCAACACGGGAAAUCUCACCAGGCCCGGACACUGGAAGGAUUGACAGAUUGAGAGCUCUUUCUCGAUUCGGUGGGUU